RNAcentral lists this ribosomal RNA (305 nucleotides) under uncultured bacterium. Its description in RNAcentral is "partial 16S ribosomal RNA". It matches the Rfam family "Bacterial small subunit ribosomal RNA", at positions 508 to 807 of the family's 1533-position model. The record is from RNAcentral.
ACAGCAGUAGCCGCGGUAAAACGGAGGGUGCAAGCGUUAAUCGGAAUUACUGGGCGUAAAGCGUGCGUAGGCGGCUUCUUAAGUCGGAUGUGAAAUCCCUGAGCUUAACUUAGGAAUUGCAUUCGAUACUGGGAAGCUAGAGUAUGGGAGAGGAUGGUAGAAUUCCAGGUGUAGCGGUGAAAUGCGUAGAGAUCUGGAGGAAUACCGAUGGCGAAGGCAGCCAUCUGGCCUAAUACUGACGCUGAGGUACGAAAGCAUGGGGAGCAAACAGGAUUAGAUACCCCGGUAGUCCCUGUCUCUUAUAC